RNAcentral lists this ribosomal RNA (667 nucleotides) under Trebouxia cretacea. Its description in RNAcentral is "eukaryotic LSU rRNA". The stretch from base 280 to 433 matches the Rfam family "5.8S ribosomal RNA". Lineage: Eukaryota; Viridiplantae; Chlorophyta; Trebouxiophyceae; Trebouxiales; Trebouxiaceae. The record is from RNAcentral.
UCAUUGAAUCUAUCGUGCCCACACCGCGAAACUACUUAUGCCCUUCUGGAACAGGCAAACUUUAUUGUUUGCCCUUCAGUUGCGCAGGUCAGGGGCUGGCUCCUUUUGGUGUCAGUUGACUUGACUGGGCGGGUCCAAUACCAGCCGGAUUCACCUUGCCUUCUAGGCUUGGGGUUCUGCCGGCUGUGAGGGGUGGCUGUUUAACUCACUUUAAGCAAUCAAUUCUGAAGGCAGAUCUAUAGGCUGGCUAUGCUGGCUGUAGUCUGAUUAAAUAUAGACAACUCUCAACAACGGAUAUCUUGGCUCCCGUAACGAUGAAGAACGCAGCGAAAUGCGAUACGUAGUGUGAAUUGCAGAAUUCCGUGAACCAUCGAAUCUUUGAACGCAAAUUGCGCUCGAGGCCUCGGCCAAGAGCAUGUCUGCCUCAGCGUCGGCUACUACCCUCAACUAAGUUUCCUAUACACAUAGGGGAUGCCGGUUGGAUCUGGCCGUCCGGUUUGCCUUUUAGGUUGCCGGUCAGCUGAAAUACAUUCACGCUCUGGGGGCUGCUUUCCUUCCGAGGAGAGGCGAGUUCCGAUUUGGUAGGUGACCUUUGCCGGUUGCAUGCCUUCGUUGCCCGCUAAGCUUUCCAGUAUGCGUUGUGCAGGACGCCUUUUGGCUUUCGACC